Molecule: ribosomal RNA, 659 nt
Filed under: uncultured Vibrionaceae bacterium
Lineage: Bacteria; Pseudomonadati; Pseudomonadota; Gammaproteobacteria; Vibrionales; Vibrionaceae
Description: bacterial SSU rRNA
Rfam family: Bacterial small subunit ribosomal RNA
Source: RNAcentral
UAGAGUUUGAUCAUGGCUCAGAUUGAACGCUGGCGGCAGGCCUAACACAUGCAAGUCGAGCGGUAACAGGAAGGAAGCUUGCUUUCUUUGCUGACGAGCGGCGGACGGGUGAGUAAUGCCUAGGGAUCUGCCCAGUCGUGGGGGAUAACAGUUGGAAACGACUGCUAAUACCGCAUACGCCCUACGGGGGAAAGGAGGGGACCUUCGGGCCUUCCGCGAUUGGAUGAACCUAGGUGGGAUUAGCUAGUUGGUGAGGUAAUGGCUCACCAAGGCAACGAUCCCUAGCUGGUCUGAGAGGAUGAUCAGCCACACUGGAACUGAGACACGGUCCAGACUCCUACGGGAGGCAGCAGUGGGGAAUAUUGCACAAUGGGCGAAAGCCUGAUGCAGCCAUGCCGCGUGUGUGAAGAAGGCCUUCGGGUUGUAAAGCACUUUCAGCGAGGAGGAAAGGUUAAUAAUUAAUAACUGUUAGCUGUGACGUUACUCGCAGAAGAAACACCGGCUAACUUCGUGCCAGCAGCCGCGGUAAUACGAGGGGUGCAAGCGUUAAUCGGAAUUACUGGGCGUAAAGCGUACGCGGGCGGUUUGUUAAGCGAGAUGUGAAAGCCCCGGGCUCAACCUGGGAACUGCAUUUCGAACUGGCAAACUAGAGUCCUGUA